This 442-nucleotide ribosomal RNA is filed under the name uncultured Thiobacillus sp. RNAcentral's name for it is "bacterial SSU rRNA". It matches the Rfam family "Bacterial small subunit ribosomal RNA", at positions 934 to 1382 of the family's 1533-position model. Lineage: Bacteria; Pseudomonadati; Pseudomonadota; Betaproteobacteria; Nitrosomonadales; Thiobacillaceae. The record is from RNAcentral.
GGAUGAUGUGGAUUAAUCGAUGCAACGCGAAGAACCUUACUACCCUUGACAUGUCCGGAACUUGCCAGAGAUGGCUUGGUGCCCGAAAGGGAACCGGAACACAGGUGCUGCAUGGCUGUCGUCAGCUCGUGUCGUGAGAUGUUGGGUUAAGUCCCCGCAACGAGCGCAACCCUUGUCCUUAGUUGCUACGCAAGGGCACUCUAAGGAGACUGCCGGUGACAAACCGGAGAAGGUGGGGAUGACGUCAAGUCCUCAUGGCCCUUAUGGGUAGGGCUUCACACGUCAUACAAUGGUCGGUACAGAGGGUUGCCAAGCCGCGAGGUGGAGCCAAUCCCACAAAGCCGAUCGUAGUCCGGAUUGUUCUCUGCAACUCGAGAGCAUGAAGUCGGAAUCGCUAGUAAUCGCAGGUCAGCAUACUGCGGUGAAUACGUUCCCGGGUCUU